UGUCGACAUUAUAGUUGCACAUUGGUGACUCUAGAGAACCUCGGGCCAAUCGCACGUCCCCGUGACGGCGACUUUGCAUUCGGAUGUCUGCCCUAUCAACUUUCGAUGCCACUUUCUGCGCCUACCAUGGUGACCACGGGUAAUGGCCAGGGUUUGAUUCCGGAGAGGGAGUCUGAGAAACGGCUACUACAUCCAAGGAAGGCAGCAGGCACUCAAAUUACCCACUUCCGACGCGGGGAGGUAAUGACGACA
Pelobates cultripes (western spadefoot toad) is the source of this 252-nucleotide non-coding RNA. The record is from the annotation of a GenBank genome assembly. Lineage: Eukaryota; Metazoa; Chordata; Amphibia; Anura; Pelobatidae.